This 1332-nucleotide long non-coding RNA is filed under the name Capra hircus (goat). RNAcentral's name for it is "lncRNA (ENSCHIG00010010957.1)". The record is from RNAcentral. Lineage: Eukaryota; Metazoa; Chordata; Mammalia; Artiodactyla; Bovidae.
GGGAGGCUGGGAGGGGGGCAGGGCGGAAUCUCACUCCCCAGCUCCCCCAGGCUCUGAACACCAGCUCCCAGGGCCUAGCCCUGCUCCCUGCAUAACCCCAGGGAGCUCCUGCCAGCCAGGCGGUGGUCCCAACCUCUCCCCUGGGGGCCUGGGUCUGCUCCUCACCUUCAGCCUGUGAAUAUCCAACAGCCCGGCCCUUCCCCUGCCCCAGGCUGGGGGCCCAGAGGCCUGCUCCUCCUCCAGCUGGGCCUUCCAGCCUUACUUCACCCCCCGCCCCAUCACCCCUGCCACAGCUGAUCCACCCAGAGACCCCAGGACGUCCUGGCCUCAACCCUGACCCCAAGGAGAGAGGGGAGUGGGAGCGGGUGGGCGCUUGGCUCCGCCUCCUCGGCCGCUCUCCGUGGGCUUCCCCACCCGCGGGUGUCAAUUACAGUCGUCAGCGCCCACCCGCUCGGCCGCUGCGGGGUCUGCUCCUUCCGCCUCCGCCCCGUGCCCCAGCGGCCGGGAUGGAGGAGGGCUCCUGGGGAGGGGAGGAGCCACGCCCUGGCUCCCAGGAAACCGUGGGCGCCGGUCCGGUCCCGCUCCGGGGUCCGCUCUCCUGCCCAUCUGCUGUGUGCCCGUCCACCCACCGGUCGGGCCUCGCCCCCGACCCCUGCCCGGCCACGGGCCUGCCAGUGUCCCUGGGGAUACGGAGAGGAGCGGGGCUUCAGGGUCAGCGCUCGGGCUGAGCGGGAGGCACCUGCGACCCGACCAGAACGGCCAGGGACGCUUCCUGGAGGAGGGGCGGGCGCGGCCCGGAGGNNNNNNNNNNNNNNNNNNNNNNNNNNNNNNNNNGAGGGAAAGAUGCGGCCUUCGGCCCCGCGUCGCGCACGUGGCCCGCGCGGGAGGGGGCGGGCGAAUCUCCGGACAGGCCCGGAUCUCCGCUCACACCUGCCGGGGCUCAGGGGCGCCGGCCCGACCGUCCGUACUGCAGGGGCGGCGCGGGGUGCCUUUGUGAGGCGCCCCCCAGCAGGUUUCUGGCCAGAGACAGCUCUAUGUGGAGGGCCGCUGUCCAUUCACCGCUGCUGCGCUUCGAAUCCUGAAGACAAGGUUGUAGAAGUGAGGACUCCUGGUGGUUGUGCUGCUGCCCAGCCUCCAGCAGCGCCCGCAGGGCUUCGCUGCCUCCCUGCCCACCAUGCCGCGACCUCCCCCCAACCCCGCCUCGCCCAGGGACCUGACAGCCCCUCCUGGGCGGCCCUCAGGAGCCCCCGUGCUGAUGACCCCUCCCUCAGCCCCCAGCCCAGACUCCUGAGCACCAGCAGGGGUGCCCACUGGCCUCGGGGCCCUCUCUGA